Molecule: non-coding RNA, 502 nt
Filed under: uncultured Glomeromycotina
Lineage: Eukaryota; Fungi; Glomeromycota
Also listed under: 1 other name
Description: partial small subunit ribosomal RNA
Rfam family: Eukaryotic small subunit ribosomal RNA
Source: RNAcentral
CCAAUAGCGUAUAUUAAAGUUGUUGCCGUUAAAAAGCUCGUAGUUGAACUUCGGGGUCUACCCAUUGGUCAGGCUUAAUUGUCUGCACUGGUGAGAUGGAUCUCUACCUUCUGAGGAACUUUCAUGCCAUUUAUUUGGUGUGAUGGGAAAUCAGGACUGUUACUUUGAAAAAAUUAGAGUGUUUAAAGCAGACUAUCGUCUGAAUACAUUAGCAUGGAAUAAUGAAAUAGGACGGACUGAUUCUAUUUCGUUGGUUUCUAGGAUCACCGUAAUGAUUAAUAGGGAUAGUUGGGGGCAUUAGUAUUCAAUUGUCAGAGGUGAAAUUCUUGGAUUUAUUGAAGACUAACUACUGCGAAAGCAUUUGCCAAGGAUGUUUUCAUUAAUCAAGAACGAAAGUUAGGGGAUCGAAGACGAUCAGAUACCGUCGUAGUCUUAACCAUAAACUAUGCCGACUAGGGAUCGGACGAAGUUAAUUUUAUAAUGACGCGUUCGGCACCUUACG